GCGAACGCUGGCGGCAGGCCUAACACCUGCAAGUCGAACGGAUCCUUCGGGAUUAGUGGCGGACGGGUGAGUAACACGUGGGAACGUGCCCUUUGGUUCGGAACAACUCAGGGACACUUGAGCUAAUACCGGAUGUGCCCUUCGGGGGAAAGAUUUAUCGCCAUUGGAGCGGCCCGCGUCUGAUUAGCUAGUUGGUGAGGUAACGGCCCACCAAGGCGACGAUCAGUAGCUGGUCUGAGAGGAUGAUCAGCCACACUGGGACUGAGACACGGCCCAGACUCCUACGGGAGGCAGCAGUGGGGAAUCUUGCGCAAUGGGCGAAAGCCUGACGCAGCCAUGCCGCGUGAAUGAUGAAGGUCUUAGGAUUGUAAAAUUCUUUCAGCGGGGACGAUAAUGACGGUACCCGCAGAAGAAGCUCCGGCUAACUUCGUG
This 432-nucleotide ribosomal RNA is filed under the name uncultured bacterium. RNAcentral's name for it is "partial 16S ribosomal RNA". It matches the Rfam family "Bacterial small subunit ribosomal RNA", at positions 29 to 507 of the family's 1533-position model. The record is from RNAcentral.